ACAACAUAUCCACAGCAAAAUCUAGCUGGUGUGUUUUUGUUAUAACUCUAGUUUCUUUUUUCCUAGUCAUUCUGUGUUGUUAUUGCAGCAUUAACUUGUGAAGCUUAAAGCUGUAGUGUGUAGGUUCUGCCGCCCCCAUGAAGUAUUCUAAGUACUAGCUGUAUUGUAAGUA
Long non-coding RNA from Etheostoma spectabile (orangethroat darter), 172 nucleotides. RefSeq lists it as uncharacterized. The transcript has 3 exons. The record is from RefSeq and is a predicted model, not a curated record. NCBI's taxonomy places the organism in Eukaryota, Metazoa, Chordata, Actinopteri, Perciformes, Percidae.